AUUGGUAUGAGCUUUCAUGUGCAUGCACACUUCUUCAGAUUGUUUCUUCUUCUGUUUCAGUGUAUCUGAAGAAGUGUACAUGCACACGAAAGCUCAUACCAAU
This is a non-coding RNA of Podarcis lilfordi (Lilford's wall lizard), 103 nucleotides long. Lineage: Eukaryota; Metazoa; Chordata; Lepidosauria; Squamata; Lacertidae. The record is from the annotation of a GenBank genome assembly.